GCCUUCGCCACGCCCGCUCAAGAACUACGAAAGGAAUUGACGGGACCCCGCACAAGCGGUGGAUCAUGUUGUUUAAUUCGAUGAUACGCGAGGAACCUUACCAGGUCUUGACAUCCCCCGCGAUGCUUUAGAGAUAAAGCGGAGGUAUUCGGGGAGACAGGUGGUGCAUGGUUGUCGUCAGCUCGUGUCGUGAGAUGUUGGGUUAAGUCCCGCAACGAGCGCAACCCCUAUUGCUAGUUACCAUCAUUAAGUUGGGGACUCUAGCGAGACUGCCAGUGAUAAACUGGAGGAAGGUGGGGAUGACGUCAAAUCAUCAUGCCCCUUAUGACCUGGGCUACAAACGUGAUACAAUGGCUGGAACAAAGGGAUGCGAAGCAGUGAUGUGGAGCGAAACCCAUAAAAACAGUCUCAGUUCGGAUUGAAGUCUGCAACUCGACUUCAUGAAGUCGGAAUCGCUAGUAAUCGCGGAUCAGAACGCCGCGGUGAAUACGUUCUCGGGGUUU
RNAcentral lists this ribosomal RNA (503 nucleotides) under uncultured Acholeplasma sp. Its description in RNAcentral is "bacterial SSU rRNA". It matches the Rfam family "Bacterial small subunit ribosomal RNA", at positions 903 to 1382 of the family's 1533-position model. The record is from RNAcentral. Lineage: Bacteria; Bacillati; Mycoplasmatota; Mollicutes; Acholeplasmatales; Acholeplasmataceae.